Molecule: long non-coding RNA, 260 nt
Organism: Nicotiana attenuata
Lineage: Eukaryota; Viridiplantae; Streptophyta; Magnoliopsida; Solanales; Solanaceae
Exons: 2
Source: RefSeq, a predicted model, not a curated record
ACAGAGAAAAAUAUGGAGACAAGCUCGCCUGUUCUUCACUUACUUGAUAUCUACCGCAAAAGUAAGGGUUUCUUUACCGUACAGGGUACCUAUCAAAUUCGAAUGGGUUGUCUUCGACGGAUUCACUGUUGAAGAGGUUGAAUACUUCUUUAUUUUAAACAUGAUGCACAGGUGGAAAAGUAGUGGAAGCAAGCUAGAUGCACAGGUUGCUGAAUAUCCAAUAAUUGGAGCAAAACAAAUUGCACGAACUAACUAUGCGG